Molecule: ribosomal RNA, 253 nt
Filed under: uncultured bacterium
Lineage: Bacteria
Description: partial 16S ribosomal RNA
Rfam family: Bacterial small subunit ribosomal RNA
Source: RNAcentral
UACAGAGGGGGCUAGCGUUGUUCGGAAUUACUGGGCGUAAAGGGCUCGUAGGCGGCCAACUAAGUCAGACGUGAAAUCCCUCAGCUUAACUGGGGAACUGCGUCUGAUACUGGAUGGCUUGGAUCCGGGAGAGGGAUGCGGAAUUCCAGGUGUAGCGGUGAAAUGCGUAGAUAUCUGGAGGAACACCGGUGGCGAAGGCGGCAUCCUGGACCGGUAUUGACGCUGAGGAGCGAAAGCCAGGGGAGCAAACGGG